RNAcentral lists this ribosomal RNA (710 nucleotides) under uncultured bacterium. RNAcentral describes it as "bacterial SSU rRNA". It matches the Rfam family "Bacterial small subunit ribosomal RNA", at positions 75 to 798 of the family's 1533-position model. The record is from RNAcentral.
GGGUUUUUAACUUAGAUUUGGGUGGCGGACGGGUGAGUAACGCGUAAAGAACUUGCCUCACAGCUAGGGACAACAUUUAGAAAUGAAUGCUAAUACCUGAUAUUAUGAUUUUAAGGCAUCUUAGAAUUAUGAAAGCUAUAAGCACUGUGAGAGAGCUUUGCGUCCCAUUAGCUAGUUGGAGAGGUAACAGCUCACCAAGGCGAUGAUGGGUAGCCGGCCUGAGAGGGUGAACGGCCACAAGGGGACUGAGACACGGCCCUUACUCCUACGGGAGGCAGCAGUGGGGAAUAUUGGACAAUGGACCGAGAGUCUGAUCCAGCAAUUCUGUGUGCACGAUGAAGUUUUUCGGAAUGUAAAGUGCUUUCAGUUGGGAAGAAAAAAAUGACGGUACCAACAGAAGAAGUGACGGCUAAAUACGUGCCAGCAGCCGCGGUAAUACGUAUGUCACGAGCGUUAUCCGGAUUUAUUGGGCGUAAAGCGCGUCUAGGUGGUUAUGUAAGUCUGAUGUGAAAAUGCAGGGCUCAACUCUGUAUUGCGUUGGAAACUGUAUAACUAGAGUACUGGAGAGGUAAGCGGAACUACAAGUGUAGAGGUGAAAUUCGUAGAUAUUUGUAGGAAUGCCGAUGGGGAAGCCAGCUUACUGGACAGAUACUGACGCUAAAGCGCGAAAGCGUGGGUAGCAAACAGGAUUAGAUACCCUGGUAGUCCAC